GGCGCGCAGCGCGGAGCCAGACUCGGGCCGGAGCCCAGCCAGGAGAUGAGGGCAGAGGAGGGGGCAGCUCGUAGGCUUGACCUGAGUAGCUCUUCUCCACCCGCCGUCUGGACAGGACGGCAGGCCCCCAGCCUGGUCUGCCAGGGCUGAUUUCGACCCCUCCCUGGAACCCCGGUUGAGGGGGAGGGGAGCAGCGACGGGAUGCCCGGCUCUGCUGCAGACUCGACUUUGCCAAACCACCCGCCUCGGAAGCCUGAAACUGCUAUGGAGGAGGGCGCCUGCGGAUUGACCCCAGGGUCAUUGGGGAGAUGGAUGAGUUAGCCAGAACCCAUGGGAACGUGAGAGGGAGAAGGAGAUUCCGCAAAGUAGAGCUGAAAAUCCCCGGAGGAGGUUCGCUUCAGUCGGAGGUCGGAUCUCGGGAAGCUUUGGGGGAGGGGGCCCGGACUGCAUCAAGUGACCCCUUAAGGAGACAUCGCAGCCGGACAGGGGCUGUCAUAUGGCUCCAACCCCCCCCCAGGCACCUUCCCCCCACCUUUCAGCUGGAAGUCUCAAAGCGAGGGACUGCAGCAGAUUGAGCCCCCCCAACCCCCGCGCUCUGCGCCAGGACGCCAGGGUCCCUUCUCGGGAAAAGAAGCCCUCCUCCCGCCCGUCGAGCUCC
This 658-nucleotide long non-coding RNA is filed under the name Capra hircus (goat). RNAcentral's name for it is "lncRNA (ENSCHIG00000002300.1)". Lineage: Eukaryota; Metazoa; Chordata; Mammalia; Artiodactyla; Bovidae. The record is from RNAcentral.